GUGGGGAAUAUUGGGCAAUGGGCGAAAGCCUGACCCAGCAACGCCGCGUGAAGGAAGAAGGUCUUCGGAUCGUAAACUUCUAUCCUUGGUGAAGAUAAUGACGGUAGCCGAGAAGGAAGCCCCGGCUAACUACGUGCCAGCAGCCGCGGUAAUACGUAGGGGGCAAGCGUUGUCCGGAAUGAUUGGGCGUAAAGGGCGCGUAGGCGGCCUGGUAAGUCUGGAGUGAAAGUCCUGCUUUUAAGGUGGGAAUUGCUUUGGAUACUGUCGGGCUUGAGUGCAGGAGAGGUAAGUGGAAGUCCCGGUGUAGCGGUGAAAUGCGUAGAGAUCGGGAGGAACACCAGUGGCGAAGGCGACUUACUGGACUGUAACUGACGCUGAGGCGCGAAAGUGUGGGGAGCAAACAGGAUUAGAAACCCUGGUAGUCC
RNAcentral lists this ribosomal RNA (425 nucleotides) under uncultured bacterium. RNAcentral's name for it is "partial 16S ribosomal RNA". It matches the Rfam family "Bacterial small subunit ribosomal RNA", at positions 354 to 796 of the family's 1533-position model. The record is from RNAcentral.